Molecule: ribosomal RNA, 465 nt
Filed under: uncultured Klebsiella sp.
Lineage: Bacteria; Pseudomonadati; Pseudomonadota; Gammaproteobacteria; Enterobacterales; Enterobacteriaceae
Description: bacterial SSU rRNA
Rfam family: Bacterial small subunit ribosomal RNA
Source: RNAcentral
CCUACGGGUGGCUGCAGUGGGGAAUAUUGCACAAUGGGCGCAAGCCUGAUGCAGCCAUGCCGCGUGUGUGAAGAAGGCCUUCGGGUUGUAAAGCACUUUCAGCGGGGAGGAAGGCGGUGAGGUUAAUAACCUCAUCGAUUGACGUUACCCGCAGAAGAAGCACCGGCUAACUCCGUGCCAGCAGCCGCGGUAAUACGGAGGGUGCAAGCGUUAAUCGGAAUUACUGGGCGUAAAGCGCACGCAGGCGGUCUGUCAAGUCGGAUGUGAAAUCCCCGGGCUCAACCUGGGAACUGCAUUCGAAACUGGCAGGCUAGAGUCUUGUAGAGGGGGGUAGAAUGCCAGGUGUAGCGGUGAAAUGCGUAGAGAUCUGGAGGAAUACCGGUGGCGAAGGCGGCCCCCUGGACAAAGACUGACGCGCAGGUGCGAAAGCGUGGGGAGCAAACAGGAUUAGAUACCCCGGUAGUC